GCCGUUGAAGCUCUGACCGAAAGGCGUGAUGAGC
RNAcentral lists this unclassified non-coding RNA (34 nucleotides) under Pyrococcus furiosus. Its description in RNAcentral is "RNA (34-MER) from Pyrococcus furiosus (PDB 3NMU, chain D)". RNAcentral also lists the same sequence under 1 other name. Lineage: Archaea; Methanobacteriati; Methanobacteriota; Thermococci; Thermococcales; Thermococcaceae. The record is from RNAcentral.